Long non-coding RNA from Thalassophryne amazonica, 276 nucleotides. RefSeq lists it as uncharacterized. NCBI's taxonomy places the organism in Eukaryota, Metazoa, Chordata, Actinopteri, Batrachoidiformes, Batrachoididae. The transcript is spliced from 2 exons. The record is from RefSeq and is a predicted model, not a curated record.
AAUAAAUUAGCUUCACACAGGCAUCUUCUAACUUGCCUGCCAUCUUGUGGGCUCUGAAAAAAGCAAAUACUUCAUGAGACCUCAUAUGGCCAUCACUAACAGCUGCCAAAUAAAGUGAUGCUGCAGCUCGUGCAUAACUUGUCCAUGCCUCUUGUGUGUCAGCUCUAUGCUGUACACUAAAAUGACUGCUAUCCUCUAACCCUUUUACUUGCUUAUUUGCUUCUCAGUCUUUUCUCGGUACAUCCAGUAUGACAUAAACAUAGUUACACUGUCACA